CCGAGUUUACAAACUCCCAAACCCCUGUGAACAUACCGUAUCGUUGCCUUCGGCGGGAUCAGCCCCGGCGCCCUCGGCCGGAACAAGGGACGCCCGCCCGAGGACCCCUAAACCUCAUGUCUUUAGUGGUACUCUCUGAGUGACACAUAAACAAAUAAAUCA
This 162-nucleotide unclassified non-coding RNA is filed under the name soil metagenome. RNAcentral's name for it is "partial internal transcribed spacer 1". The record is from RNAcentral.